This 235-nucleotide long non-coding RNA is filed under the name Elaeis guineensis (African oil palm). RNAcentral describes it as "long non-coding RNA (EGUI_LNC055085)". Lineage: Eukaryota; Viridiplantae; Streptophyta; Magnoliopsida; Arecales; Arecaceae. The record is from RNAcentral.
UCGGGAAGUCCACUCGAAGCUCCGAUCUGAUCAGUCUUCUCGAGAGUACUAGCUCGCUUGAAGACUUUCUUCUUGGCUGAUCUAGAUCCUUUCUUCAAAUCUCUAGAACCAUUUUAGAGGUUAAAGAUAGACUUCUAGAGGAGAUGAAGAGGUGAAAAAAAGAUAGAGAAGAAACUAUUUUUUUUUUAUUUUUCUUUCUUCCCAAAUCUUGAGGUAGAAAUCCUAGAAGACUAGG